GAUGAACGCUGGCGGCGUGCUUAACACAUGCAAGUCGAACGAACCUUCGGGUUAGUGGCGGACGGGUGAGUAACGCGUGAGAAUCUGCCCUCAGGAGGGGGACAACAGUUGGAAACGACUGCUAAUACCCCAUAUGCCGCGAGGUGAAAUGAAUUUCGCCUGAGGAUGAGCUCGCGCCUGAUUAGCUAGUUGGUGUAGGUAAUGGCUCACCAAGGCAUCGAUCAGUAGCUGGUCUGAGAGGAUGAUCAGCCACACUGGGACUGAGACACGGCCCAGACUCCUACGGGAGGCAGCAGUGGGGAAUUUUCCGCAAUGGGCGAAAGCCUGACGGAGCAACGCCGCGUGAGGGAUGAAGGCCUCUGGGCUGUAAACCUCUUUUAUCGAGGAAGAAGAUCUGACGGUACUUGAUGAAUAAGCCACGGCUAAUUCCGUGCCGAGCG
Molecule: ribosomal RNA, 440 nt
Filed under: uncultured bacterium
Lineage: Bacteria
Description: bacterial SSU rRNA
Rfam family: Bacterial small subunit ribosomal RNA
Source: RNAcentral